UGGAUGGCAAAACGGUCUAUUCGGAUGACACAGACCUCGGCCACCUCAAAGCGGCAGCUGCUGCUACAACAAAAUGCCCAGAAAGAGAUGUGGUAAACUUUCCAAGACCAGUCCGUCAAGCGUAUCCUGGCAAUGUACACAUGUGCUUCAUCCCUUGUAUUGCCCCAUACCUGAAAUUACGCAUAUUCCUACUAGAAAUCCGACGCCGAAAUGAACGCUGGUCGAGAUAUGGCCAUUGUAGAAGCCUAGGCCAAAAUCGUGGCAGGGAAGAUUGAACAGGAUCGAUCUCUUGCCAUGAAGAUGCUUUUUGACGCUGCCAAGAGGGAAAACGUUGUCCUUCAGCUUGAAGUUUGCUUACAGCGAUCAGCUCGUCAGAGUUUUUUCUGAGAUGAACCGUAUUUCUUGUCGCUAUUGGUGCGAUUCCCCAUCCGGAUGCGUGAUUGGAAACUUUUAACGGAAGCAGCGGCUCACUUUGCGAUGGCAGGGUUUGGUUUACCCGAUGUACUCGGGUCACACGAUGAUUUAUGCGGGCGAUCUCAUCCAUUGAAGCAAGUCCAGCUCUUACAAAUUUAAUGGAUCGCGUGGAAGACGUAUCUCAACUCUGGCUGGGUUUGAGAAUCACCAAACGUAUACGCCUUGCUGAAGAGCACGUCAGCUUAUUGUAGGUCUCCGGAAGAACUUGGCCAAAUCCUGGGAGAAUGCCCCACCACUCAUUCCAUCGUGCUACGCCAACGCUCACAGUUUAUUGCUUGCGCCGGCCGAAGAGCUCGCAGAUCUCUGGGGCGAACAGCACACGCGGAGUGGAGACGAACCCUGUCAAUCACGUGUGUGAUUACAUCUUUCUCAGGUUUGGACACACACCCUAGUCCAUGUUUCAAGUUACAUAGAAAUUCAAUCAACCCCUGUAUACAAGCUGUCGUCUGCUUACUUCCAGUUGUUUCCAGAACUCGAGAACGAAAAUGAAAAUGCCUGCUCUCCACAUUUGACUGUAAAGUCAACGUCCUGGAGUGCCUGCCGUCGUGGACGCGUUUACCUGCCCUUCAUGGAAAAAUUGUCAGGAUUCCGGAAUCAUUUGCAGUUUCAAAUUCCAGAUGGCACAGCUUAGUCGUCUGGACUGUCACUCAGACAACGAGCCUCGUGUGUCGUGUCUACGCCCCUUUUUACGUCGUCUGCCAAAGAAGUUUUCCAACAAGAAUGUAAAUUAACUACUGUUUAACAAAUAACGGAGAAGAAUGGAACACAAGUCUUCCAUAAACAAAAACAGAUAUGGAGAGCUUCCAGCAAACUUUGCAUCAUCGUUCCUCUUCUGUCCUCGCGUACGUCUAUGUGAGCGCAAAGGUAUCCAUGGGGACGUCGUAUAUAUUCCGCUUCCACCUCCAGAAGUCACCACUGCUACCCUAAUCAUUCAUUUGGCCAUCAAGUUAAUAAUAAGGUUUGGCAACUGCUUGGUCUAAAUGGUGCUGCUGUUCAUCCAUGGGUGAAGAUACAUAGUAGCCUGCACUUAAUUUUUACUAUCAUGUGUGAAUUGUUCAUCGAUGUUUGAAGUUGAGGGUUUUUUAUGAAGUCUGAAGAGUGUCUGAAGAUAUUUUGUAGUCAGCCCUUGACCAAAGAAGGGAAUUCAACAUUAUCGAUAAUCAGAUUUAAAUUAUGUAGCAGUUCUAACUUGAGCUGUGCUAUCUUUGUUACCUGCAAUUUGUCGCAAUGGUAUUUUUAUUUGUAUCAGUAGUAAUGAAAUAUACAAACUAAGUUGA
RNAcentral lists this long non-coding RNA (1751 nucleotides) under Daphnia pulicaria. RNAcentral's name for it is "uncharacterized LOC124313601". The record is from RNAcentral. Lineage: Eukaryota; Metazoa; Arthropoda; Branchiopoda; Diplostraca; Daphniidae.